GGCUUCGUGGUGUAAUGGUUAUCACACUCGGCUCCUAUUCGAGAUGUCUGUGGUUCGAGUCCCGGUGAGGGCA
This 73-nucleotide transfer RNA is filed under the name Stegodyphus mimosarum. It matches the Rfam family "tRNA". Rfam says of the family: Transfer RNA (tRNA) molecules are approximately 80 nucleotides in length. Their secondary structure includes four short double-helical elements and three loops (D, anti-codon, and T loops). Further hydrogen bonds mediate the characteristic L-shaped molecular structure. tRNAs have two regions of fundamental functional importance: the anti-codon, which is responsible for specific mRNA codon recognition, and the 3' end, to which the tRNAs corresponding amino acid is attached (by aminoacyl-tRNA synthetases). tRNAs cope with the degeneracy of the genetic code in two manners: having more than one tRNA (with a specific anti-codon) for a particular amino acid; and 'wobble' base-pairing, i.e. permitting non-standard base-pairing at the 3rd anti-codon position. The record is from Rfam by way of RNAcentral. Lineage: Eukaryota; Metazoa; Arthropoda; Arachnida; Araneae; Eresidae.